GACUUGUAAGAACUCAUAGGGAGAGAGGUUUGAAAGUGGGAACUCAUAGCCAAAAGUAACACUUCCUAGCACUCAACUUAACAUCCUAAAGAAACAUAACAAAUAGCAUGAGCAUUCUCCUUAUUAUACUCUAGCUUCUCUAGGCCUAUCCAUACUCUUUUUCCUCUACUCAAGUUGCAAUACUCUUUACCAACAAGUCCUUUCAAUCAGCUCUCACAUUGAUUCACACACACACACACAAGGUGAAGUCUCACAAAUGGGCACAUGAUCUCAAUCAUUUGGCUAGGCAUGCAAUGGUCUAAUAUGAAUGAAGAGAUGGGUUCAAAUGUUUUUUAUUUAAGGGUGGUUAUCACUCAAAACAAGGAGCUUGAUCAUUAUGCAAAAUUUUUCUAAGAUUAGAAGCAACUCAUGCAUACAUAGAUUCAUUCUCAUCAUUCUACCCCAUUUUGUUGUAAAUGAUCACAAGUUCUACCCUCUUUAUUAUCAUCUCAAAAUCAAUCUAAACCCCCUCACAUCACUCACCCAAUGUACAACUCUCUUUUCUUUUCAUUUGACCCACUCACUAGGGAUUUUAAUCCACUUUCCACAAGCUCUAACCCUUUUUCAUUUCCUUCCCCAACUUCUUUUUGAUCUUUUUUUUUUUUCUUUUUUUUUAUUAGGGGGAAGGUUCUUUAUUACAUGAUCAAGAGCUUCUUCUUUUUUUUUUUAUAUAUAUCCCUAGGAGCUUUAUUUUCAUAUCUCUCAUCUUUCUCACUCUCCAAACCCAAGAUAUUGAAAUUUAAAACACACAAAUCCCUCUCACAUCCCUAAAUGCUAACUCAUUGUGCUAGCAAGAGAUGAGAAUAAACCUAUGUCGCCUCCAAUACUCUCAAGAUUUUGCACAUGACAAGCUAUCAAAAGAGGCCUCACUGAUAUCUUGCAUAUUUGCAUUGUUUUAUCCAUUCAUCCAUGAGCAUUUUCAUCAUAUAGAUUAGGAUUCAGACAUGUUUAGGUUGCAUUUUGCAUACAUGAGUCUCUAUUAGGUACUGGAGUACCACAUGAGGUUAUUUGGAGCUCAAAAGAGGUGAAAAGGUGACCAUUGGACGAACCGAGCAUGGGAGCGACCUCCCGGAGCGACAUCACGAAGUCGCUGUGUCCCGCUUCUCAGAGCGACUUUCCUAAAGCGACGCCAUGAAGUCGCUCGCGUUCUCAUUACUCCGAACAGUCUUAGAUGACCCUGGAGCGACCUCUCAGAGCGACCUACUAAGGUCGCUCCCGAUCCAGAGCGACCCGUUGGAGCGACUGCACAAAGUCGCUCGCGUUUUCACGUCCGGAGACACACAACUCGCUCUCGGAGCGACCUCUCGCAGCGACCCAGCGAGGUCGCUCCCGAAGCUUGGAGCGACCUGUCCAGAGCGACAGAGAGAAGUCGCUCGCCAUCUUGGUUCCCGGAGACAAGAAAUCGCUCUCGGAGCAACCUCUCGCAGCGACCCAGCGAGGUCGCUCCCGAAGCCUGGAGCGACUUGUCGGAGCGACGAGCCGAGGUCGCUCCGCGCCUAUUAUCUGCUCGAUUUCUAUUUUACUUAAGGGCCUUUUGGUCAUUUCAUUAUGCACGUUUUACACUUUCUAAACCUAAGUUAAGUACUUUGUAAGCGAUGGGAGGAAGAUAAUCUCUUUUCUAGAGAAGAACUAGUAAAAAACCUCUUUUGAUUCAGAUUUCAUUGCUUUCAUCUUGUGUUCUUGUUGAUUUCUUAUCUAUUUCUCUACAUGGUUAAUCUGAAAUCCAAUAUGGGUUUAAGAGGAAUCAUGGAGAUUAGUGAGUAAUCACCUUUUGAAUUCAUGGGUUAGGGAGAUUAAGGGUGAUUAGGUUAGAGCUAGGAUGUUUUAGUGUAGAUCAUUCAUAUUUCCUUGCUAGUAGAGUAAUCAUAAUGCAUCUUCUGAGUUGGCCACUCAGUUGUUGAUCCUUAGGCAUUUCUCACCCGAAAGGUGUUCGAUGAAAUGCCCGAGACAACUCUCCUAGGCUUUUAGUAUACUUUGCCAAAGACAUUUGUUGUUAAAGGUACUAAGAUAGCUAAUAGACUUGUUAGUAAUGAUUGCUUUCAUAUUAUUCAACCAAAGACAUUUGAUGUUUGAGAUAUGUUAGCAAAUGAGCAUUCAUCUAGACAUAGAGCUUGCUUAGAAUUGUGUCUAGGCUUAAGGUUGAUAGUUUGAUUGAUCAUUUGCCAUCCUUAGUUCGAUACUUGAUCACCCAAGGUCUAAUCCCUAUACCCAUGAGUUCUCUUUUCCUUUAGUCAAGAAAGUAUCAUUCUGUUAUUGCUUUCUAGUUUUAGUCAUAGUUUAAAACCCAUCUAAAUCAUUGGUUGCACUUAGAUUAAGUGAGUACUUGCAUUCUCAGUGCUUUGAUAUCCCUCAGAACUGGUUCGACAAUCAUUUAUACUACAACAUUUGUCUUAGGAGCCUUGAAAACUCCUAACAUCAAAUUGGCGCCGUUGCCAAAUUCUGAGUAGAUUUGAACAUUGAGAUUUAGUCACUUGCUUGAGACUAAGUCAUUUUUAUUUUCUUUUGUUACUGAUUCUCUUUCUUCACCUCCCUUUAAUCUACAGGUGUAUGAACUUGAGGAGCAGGGGUCCAUCAAACCUAGUUCCAAUAGCUGCAGACAUCAGAGCUUUAGAGAGAGAGUGUGCUAGAAAUAGAAGAGAAGAAGAGCAACAGGCUCACUUGCAGAGAUUGAGUACUGAUAUGGGAGACAUACCUCAAAACCAACAGCGAGCAGCUCGACCCAUUGGCACUUACGACCGCCCCAACAUUCAUGGUCAUAGAUUGGGAAUCCGAGCACCCGCUGUGGCAGCCAACAACUUUGAGAUCAAAUCAGGACUCCUCAACGUGAUCGAGAACAACAAGUAUCAUGGCUUGGCUCUAGAGGAUCCAUUUGAUCACUUGGACAGGUUCGACAGCUACUGUGGGUUGUCAAAAACCAAUGGUGUGUCCGAAGAUGCCUUAAAGCUCAAGCUAUUCCCUUUCUCUUUGGGGGAUAAGGCACGUCAGUGGGAGAAGUCUCUACCCAGUGACUCCAUCACUACUUGGGAUGACUGCAAGAAAGCAUUCUUGGAGAAGUUCUUCUCUACUUCAAGAACUGCUAAGCUGAGAAACGAGAUUUCCAGCUUUCAACAGAAGAACUUGGAAGGCUUCAGUGAAGCCUGGGAGAGAUUCAAGGGCUACCAAGCUCAAUGCCCACACCAUGGCUUUUCUAAGGAGAGCUUGCUGAGCACAUUCUACCGUGGUGCUCUUCCUAAGUACAGAGCCAGACUGGAUACAGCUAGCAAUGGGUUCUUCUUGGGGAGAACUGAGGAGGAUGCAGAAGAACUGGUUGACAACAUGGUAAAGAGUGAUGCAGUCUACAGUGGAGACCACGACAGAAGCAGUAGAACUGAGGAUAAGCAAACGAGGAAGGAGUUGAAAGCUCUACAGGAUAAGAUAGACAUCCUCCUUGCUGAUAAAGCUACCCAAGAGCAGCUGCACUUUGUCGGCAACCCAAGCCAAGAGACACCAGCUAUUGUCCAUGAAGUUGAGGGUUUGGAAGGUCAGGAAGAGCUGUGUUUCAUCAACAACAAUGGUAGCUGGUACAAGAAAGAACCCAACUUUCAGUACAACAACUACCAACAGAAGUCCUAUUCCAACAACCAGCAGAGUGGCUAUCCGCCAAGAAACAACCAGCAAGGCAGCUAUCAGCCUCAGCAAAACCCCUCGUCUGGUUCCUCUGCUCCUCAAGAGAGCAGCACUGAUACCUUACUGAAGCAAAUCUUGGAGUCUCAGACUAGAAGUGAGAAGCAAGUUGGUUAUGAGUUGAAGAACCUUCAUUCCAAGAUUGAUGGGAGCUACAAUGAGCUCAACAACAAAUUCUCACACCUUGCUUCUACAGUCAGGAAUUUAGAGAAUCAAUUUGCUUCCAUGAACACUCACCAGAAUCGCCAGCAAGGAUCUCUACCUGGAAAGUCUGACCAAAAUCCCAGGAGGCCAAAGCUAUCACCCUUAGGAGUGGUAAGCAGUUACCUCCUAGAACCCUCACCAAGGAUGCUGAGAAAUUAGGUGAGGGGGUUGCCAUCAACAUAGAUGAUGAAGUGGUGAUUGUUGAUGAGAAGAUCAAUGACGAGAUCUUGGAGAAGAUAGUGGAAGCCAAAGGUAAAGGAAAGGUUGGAGAGGAGAAGAAGACAGUAAAGGAUGGUGAAGUUGUUACUCCAGCAAGUGAAAGUUCUUUUGUUCCUCCUCCCUAUGAAUCCCAAACUUCCAUUCCCUGGUAGAUUCAAGAAGCAGCUGCUAGAGAAAUACAAAGCUCUGUUUGAGAAGCAAAUGAGUGAAGCUCAGGUUGCAAUGCCCAUCAUCGAUGCUUUCAUGUUGAUUCCUCAAUACAACAAUUUCCUGAAAGAUGUUGUAGCUGCAAAGAAGAAGGAGAUGGAAAGCAUGAUGAUUCUUACCCAUGAGUGCAAUGCCAUCAUCCAGAGGCUUGAUGUUCCAAGAGAAAUUAGAGGAUCCAGGAAGCUUCACACUACCUUGUGCUCUUGGACCUAUGGUAUUUGAGAAAAGUCUCUGCGAUUUGGGAGCUAGUGUCAGCUUGAUGCCUUUGUCUGUUGCAAAGAAGCUUGGAUUCACUCAGUACAAGAAGUGUAGACUCUCUCUGGUGUUAGCUGAUCGUUCAGUGAAGUACCUGUGGGCAUCUUAGAGGACCUCCCUGUGAAGAUUGGAAGGUAUGAGAACCUACAGAUUUUGUGGUGCUUGAGAUGGGUGAGGAGGCUCAAGAUCCAUUGAUUCUAGGAAGGCCAUUCUUAGCUACAGCAGGAGCUAUUGUUAAUGUGAAGGAGGGCACGAUUGAUCUCCAUUUGGGUAAAGAGAACAUCCUCCACUUUGACAUCAAGAGGAAAAUGAGGAAACCAACUGUGUUCGGGCAAGCCUUCUACAUUGAAGAGAUGACACUCCUGCUGAUGAGCACCUUGAAGAGUUACCACCUGAGGACGACGAGGAGGGAGCAUCUCCCUCUACUCAUUCCCCAUAGAAGGUAACCCACCACACCCCUUGUAUAUACCAUUUCAUUUUUGCAUAUUAGUCUUCUUUUCGGUAUCUCUCUCUACUUGACGACACAGAGACUGUGUAACUCAAGUUUGGGGGAGGUACCAAGUAUUUGAUCAUGUUUGCUUUGAUGUUGUUUCAUUGAGUCAUGCAUUGCAUACCUAUUUGCAUAAAAAAAAAAAAAAACCAAUCAUUUAGUUUGCAUCAUUUGCAUUUUUAGGAGAGUCUAGAGCAUAUAGGUUGCAUUCACUUGCAUUGGGAGCAAUGAUUUUGAAUGCCUUGUAAAGAACACUACGUUGCACCUGAGUAGCUUUUGCACCUCUCAAAAAGACUUGUAUGUUUCGAGCCUUGAAAACUCUUCCUGAAACUUGUUGAUUGCUGAAACUCAGUCUUUGAAGCCAACUACAACCUUAUUUGAAAUGAAUGAACUUAAUGCUUCUUGCUUAUGGUCCCUUGUGUACUGAGUCAUGGCUAUACACACUGAGUUGUCACAUCUUUUAUGCCAAUCUUUUUGACAAACUCUAGUGGUAGACCACUCCCAAAACCUUUCCUUCCUUUUAAGCUUUCAUUGUUUGAUGAGUGAGGCCUUCUUCGGAAAGUCUUACAUGUGCAUAAUGUUGAGAGUAUCGGGAACGACAAUGCUUGAUCUUCAUUCUUGCUAGAUUGGACACUCUUUGUCUAGCUAUAGGUGGGGGGUGAGUGUUGUGAUUAUGAUUUGGGAGAAAUGAAAAAAAAAGGAUAGACUCUUUGUGCUUAAGUGAAUUGUUUUGGGAUAAGUAGAGAACCUCUAGCUCAAGUUUUGAAAAGUCUUGGCCCCCAACCUAAAAAAAAAAGGAAAAAGAAAAACGAAAAAAAAAAGAGAAAGAAAAAAAGAAAAAGAAAAGAAAAAGGGGGCUAGCAAAGUUGUUAGGAGCUAAGAAAUGUUUUGAGGUUGUGAAAAAUCCCUUGUAGAUUUCAAAGAGAAGGAGUUAAAGUUCUUAGGAUCUUUUGGUGAGAGAUGUGAGUAGGGUUUGACAUUGGGAAUGAUUGUGUGAUUUGUAUGUUUGGGAAAAGGGUAGAACAAUGGAGAUUGAGCAUUGUAUGCAUGAGUUGGUCCCUUUCUUAGAUAUAUUAUGUGCAAUGUCAAGGCUACUUGUUUUGAGAGUAAACCACCUUAAAGAUCAUAUGUUUUGAACCUCUUGAAUCACUUGAAUAAAAGCCUUCCCUUACCCAACCAAAUGACUUGGACCAACUGACCAUUUGCAAGAAUUCACCUGAUGUUUUGUGCUUAAUGAAUGUGAGAGUUGGUUGAUUUGAAUGUGUGGAUGCUUGAUGAUGAGUGUAAGAACAAAAAGAGUUAAGAUAGGCCUAGAGAAGCUAGAGUGUAAUAAGAGAGUGUGCUAGUUGUGUUUCUUUUGGCUAUGUGCUCCCACCUUCAACCUCUCUUCCUAUGAGUUCUAGAAAGUUCACUUGUGGACAAGUAAAAGAACAAGUUUGGGGGAGUUGAUAUCUUGCAUAUUUGCAUUGUUUUAUCCAUUCAUCCAUGAGCAUUUUCAUCAUAUAGAUUAGGAUUCAGACAUGUUUAGGUUGCAUUUUGCAUACAUGAGUCUCUAUUAGGUACUGGAGUACCACAUGAGGUUAUUUGGAGCUCAAAAGAGGUGAAAAGGUGACCAUUGGACGAACCGAGCAUGGGAGCGACCUCCCGGAGCGACAUCACGAAGUCGCUGUGUCCCGCUUCUCAGAGCGACUUUCCUAAAGCGACGCCAUGAAGUCGCUCGCGUUCUCAUUACUCCGAACAGUCUUAGAUGACCCUGGAGCGACCUCUCAGAGCGACCUACUAAGGUCGCUCCCGAUCCAGAGCGACCCGUUGG
RNAcentral lists this long non-coding RNA (6890 nucleotides) under Brassica rapa (field mustard). Its description in RNAcentral is "long non-coding RNA (BRAP_LNC002262)". Lineage: Eukaryota; Viridiplantae; Streptophyta; Magnoliopsida; Brassicales; Brassicaceae. The record is from RNAcentral.